UUGGAUACUUGUCAGAAGUUGUCUGCUUACCCACAGAACAGAUUCAGCACAGACAGUGGCAGGACAAGUUUACCUACACUGCUCUGACAACGUGUCUCAACUCUGUUCUGGAAGGAACACAUCUAGGGAUGUUCCUUCUUCAUAUCCAUUCAGUCCUCCCACUCU
Unclassified non-coding RNA from Crocodylus porosus (Australian saltwater crocodile), 165 nucleotides. Lineage: Eukaryota; Metazoa; Chordata; Crocodylia; Crocodylidae. The record is from Ensembl.